CCUACGGGAGGCAGCAGUGGGGGAUAUUGCACAAUGGGGGGAACCCUGAUGCAGCGACGCCGCGUGGGUGAAGAAGCGCCUCGGCGCGUAAAGCCCUGUCAGCAGGGAAGAAAAUGACGGUACCUGAAGAAGAAGCCCCGGCUAACUACGUCCCAGCAGCCGCGGUAAUACGUAGGGGGCAGGCGUUAUCCGGAUUUACUGGGUUUAAGGGGGGCGCAGACGGCGAUGCAAGCCAGGAGUGAAAGCCCGGGGCCCAACACCGGGACUGCUCUUGGAACUGCGUGGCUGGAGUGCAGGAGGGGCAGGCGGAAUUCCGGGUGUAGCGGUGAAAUGCGUAGAUAUCAGGAGGAACACCGGUGGCGAAGGCGGCCUGCUGGACUGCAACUGACGUUGAGGCCCGAAAGCGUGGGGAGCAAACAGGAUUAGAUACCCUGGUAGUC
RNAcentral lists this ribosomal RNA (440 nucleotides) under uncultured bacterium. RNAcentral describes it as "partial 16S ribosomal RNA". It matches the Rfam family "Bacterial small subunit ribosomal RNA", at positions 338 to 795 of the family's 1533-position model. The record is from RNAcentral.